CACGCUGUAAACGAUGAGUACUAGGUGUCGGGGGUUACCCCCUUCGGUGCCGCAGCUAACGCAUUAAGUACUCCGCCUGGGAAGUACGCUCGCAAGAGUGAAACUCAAAGGAAUUGACGGGGACCCGAACAAGUAGCGGAGCAUGUGGUUUAAUUCGAAGCAACGCGAAGAACCUUACCUAAGCUUGACAUCCCAAUGACAUCUCCUUAAUCGGAGCUUU
RNAcentral lists this ribosomal RNA (220 nucleotides) under Clostridioides difficile. RNAcentral's name for it is "partial 16S ribosomal RNA". It matches the Rfam family "Bacterial small subunit ribosomal RNA", at positions 796 to 1015 of the family's 1533-position model. Lineage: Bacteria; Bacillati; Bacillota; Clostridia; Peptostreptococcales; Peptostreptococcaceae. The record is from RNAcentral.